RNAcentral lists this ribosomal RNA (447 nucleotides) under uncultured bacterium. RNAcentral describes it as "bacterial SSU rRNA". It matches the Rfam family "Bacterial small subunit ribosomal RNA", at positions 355 to 825 of the family's 1533-position model. The record is from RNAcentral.
UGGGGAAUAUUGGACAAUGGGCGAAAGCCUGAUCCAGCCAUGCCGCGUGAGUGACGAAGGCCUUAGGGUUGUAAAACUCUUUCGUCGGGGACGAUAAUGACGGUACCCGAAGAAGAAGCUCCGGCCAACUUCGUGCCAGCAGCCGCGGUAAAACGUAGGAGACAAACGUUAUCCGGAGUUACUGGGCGUAAAGGGCGUGCAGGCGGCAGUCUAAGUCUGGCGUGAAAUAUCCCGGCUCAACCGGGGAAGGUCGUCGGAUACUGGGCAGCUAGAGGACGGUAGAGGCGUGUGGAAUUCCGGGUGUAGUGGUGAAAUGCGUAGAGAUCCGGAGGAACACCAGUGGCGAAGGCGACACGCUGGGCCGUACCUGACGCUAAGACGCGACAGCAUGGGGAGCAAACAGGAUUAGAUACCCAAGUAGUCCCUGAGCGGGCUGGCAAGGCGCAU